Molecule: ribosomal RNA, 465 nt
Filed under: uncultured bacterium
Lineage: Bacteria
Description: partial 16S ribosomal RNA
Rfam family: Bacterial small subunit ribosomal RNA
Source: RNAcentral
GACGAACGCUGGCGGCGUGCUUAACACAUGCAAGUCGAACGGAAAGGCCCCUUCGGGGGUACUCGAGUGGCGAACAGGUGAGUAACACGUGAGUAACCUGCCCUUGACUUCGGGAUAACUUCAGGAAACUGGGGCUAAUACCGGAUAGGAAUCCUUGCUGCAUGGUGGGGGUGGGAAAGCUCCGGCGGUUUUGGAUGGACUGGCGGGUUAUCAGCUUGUUGGUGGGGUAGUGGCUUACCAAGGCUUUGACGGGUAGCCGGCCUGAGAGGGCGACCGGCCACAUUGGGACUGAGAUACGGCCCAGACUCCUACGGGAGGCAGCAGUGGGGAAUAUUGCACAAUGGGCGGAAGCCUGAUGCAGCAACGCCGCGUGCGGGAUGACGGCCUUCGGGUUGUAAACCGCUUUCAGCAGGGGCGAAGCUUGUGGUGACGGUACCUGCAGAAGAAGCACCGGCUAACUACGUG